Molecule: ribosomal RNA, 403 nt
Filed under: uncultured bacterium
Lineage: Bacteria
Description: partial 16S ribosomal RNA
Rfam family: Bacterial small subunit ribosomal RNA
Source: RNAcentral
GACGAACGCUGGCGGCGUGCCUAAUACAUGCAAGUCGAACGCAGUGGGGACGGGUGCGUAACACGUGGGUAACCUCCCAUCAGAGGGGAUAACACUUGGAAACCGGUGCUACACCGCUCCUGAUGGAUGGACCCGCGGUGCAUUAGCUAGUUGGUGGGGUCACGGCUCACCAAGGCCACGCUGCAUAGCCGACCUGAGAGGGGGAUCCGCCACACUGGGACUGAGACACGGCCCAGACUCCGACGGUAGGCAGCAGUAGGGAAGCUUCGGCAAUGGACGAAAGUCUGACCGAGCAACGCCGCGUGAGGGAAGAAGGUUUUCGGAUCGUAAAACUCUUUUGUUAGAGAAGCGGUAUCUAACCAGAAAGCCACGGCUAACUACGUGCAAGCAGCCGCGGUAAUUC